RNAcentral lists this ribosomal RNA (292 nucleotides) under uncultured bacterium. RNAcentral's name for it is "partial 16S ribosomal RNA". The record is from RNAcentral.
GGACUACAGGGGUAUCUAAUCCUGUUUGCUCCCCAAGCUUUCGUGUAUGAGCGUCAGGUGCUAGCCAGGAAGCCGUCUUCACCUCAGGUAUUCUUCCCGAUAUCUACCCAUUUCACUGGUCCACCGGGAGUUCUACUUCCCUCUCUAGCCCUCAAGCUCCCCCGUAUCGAUGGCCCCCUCCCAGUUAAGCCAGGAGAUUUCACCACCGACGCAAAGAGCCGCCUGCACACGCUUUACGCCCAGUAACUCCGGACAACGCUUGCAUCCUACGUAUUACCGCGGCGGCUGGCAC